GUGCACGCUGGCGGUAGGCCUAACCCCUGCAAGUCGCACGGCAGCACAGUAAGAGCUUGCUCUUACGGGUGGCGAGUGGCGGACGGGUGAGGAAUACAUCGGAAUCUACUUUUUCGUGGGGGAUAACGUAGGGAAACUUACGCUAAUACCGCAUACGACCUACGGGUGAAAGCAGGGGAUCUUCGGACCUUGCGCGAUUGAAUGAGCCGAUGUCGGAUUAGCUAGUUGGCGGGGUAAAGGCCCACCAAGGCGACGAUCCGUAGCUGGUCUGAGAGGAUGAUCAGCCACACUGGAACUGAGACACGGUCCAGACUCCUACGGGAGGCAGCAGUGGGGAAUAUUGGACAAUGGGCGCAAGCCUGAUCCAGCCAUACCGCGUGGGUGAAGAAGGCCUUCGGGUUGUAAAGCCCUUUUGUUGGGAAAGAAAAGCAGCAGGUUAAUACCCCGCUGUUCUGACGGUACCCAAAGAAUAAGCACCGGCUAACUUCGUG
Molecule: ribosomal RNA, 491 nt
Filed under: uncultured bacterium
Lineage: Bacteria
Description: partial 16S ribosomal RNA
Rfam family: Bacterial small subunit ribosomal RNA
Source: RNAcentral